Thunnus maccoyii (southern bluefin tuna) is the source of this 3053-nucleotide RNA transcript. It is a transcript of the gene named carboxypeptidase Q-like, with no coding region annotated. NCBI's taxonomy places the organism in Eukaryota, Metazoa, Chordata, Actinopteri, Scombriformes, Scombridae. The transcript has 13 exons. The record is from RefSeq and is a predicted model, not a curated record.
UCGUUAGGCACGCGCUGAAUGACGCAGACGGAAACAAUAUUUAUUUCCUUGCUUCACUGUUGUAUACUUUCAAACUGUUUAAAACCUGUAACUUCAACGAUAACAAGGCUACUAACCUGUCGUGAAGGAUGGCUCAGGGUGGCAGACUGCCCAUCCUCCUCUCCUUCUUGUUUUUCUCCAUGUUAUCAUCUCCGUGUGGAUGUCACCCUCACUCUACUUGGGCCAGGGCUGCAUUCAAUGAUACUACAAGGAAAGCCUCUGACAUGGCUGCAGAGGUGGCAGGCUAUGGUGAUGUGGCUAAACAGAUCAUUGACCUGGCUGUGUUUGGAGCCGCCAAGCACCGCUCUUACAGACGGCUAGCCGACUUCACCGACACCAUAGGGAACCGUGUCAGUGGCUCGCUCAACUUGGAAAUGGCUAUCAAAUACAUGUCCAAUGCUAUGAUACAGGAUGGCUUGGAUGUACAUCUAGAGCCAGUCAAAAUCCCUCACUGGGUGAGAGGGAAGGAAAGCGCAGAAAUGACUGUGCCCAGAGCCAAAAGUCUGGCUAUACUGGGACUGGGCAGCAGUGUAGGGACACCACCUGAAGGUAUUGAGUCAGAGGUGUUGGUGGUUCAGUCUUUUGAGGAACUGAAGCGCAGAGCCAGCGAGGCUGCAGGGAAGAUUGUGGUCUUUAACCAGCCGUUUGUCAGCUAUGGGGAGACGGUAGCUUACCGUGCGUUCGGUGCCUCUGAGGCAGCUAAAGUGGGAGCUGUAGCCUCACUCAUUCGGUCCAUCACUCCUUUCUCUAUUAACAGUCCCCACACUGGUUGGCAGGACUACCAAGAUGGAGUGAAACGCAUCCCCACAGCCUGUAUCACUGUGGAGGAUGCUGAGUUGAUGUGGCGUAUGGCGCAGAGGGGACAGCAGAUCGUGGUCAGACUCACAAUGGCGGCCAAGACUCUGCCGGUUGCCGACUCUUUCAACACAGUGGCUGAGAUAAGAGGCUGGCAGCACCCUGAGCAGAUCGUCUUACUGAGCGGUCAUUUGGACAGUUGGGAUGUGGGCCAGGGUGCCAUGGAUGAUGGGGGUGGAGCCAUGAUUUCCUGGGAGGCCCUGUCACUCAUCAAAGAUCUAGGUUUGCGUCCAAGGAGAACCCUGCGUACAGUGCUGUGGACAGCUGAAGAGCAGGGUGGAGUUGGAGCACAGCAGUACUAUAAUCUACACAAGGUGAACAUGUCCAACUAUGACCUGGUCAUGGAGUCUGAUUUGGGGACAUUCAGCCCGAUGGCUCUGCAGUUUACAGGCAGUGAUGCAGCACGAAAGGUGAUGGAAGAAGUGGUCAAACUGUUGGCUCCCAUUAAUACAACCAAACUGGAGAUACAUGGAGAAGGGACAGAUAUCUCACCUUGGAUGCAGGCAGGAGUACCAGGUGCUAGCCUACAUGUGGCCGACAGUCGAUAUUUUUGGUUCCACCACAGUGAAGGUGACACCAUGGACGUUCAGGACCCUCAAGACAUGGACCUGUGCUCGGCGUUGUGGGCUGUGGUUGCCUACGUCGUGGCAGACCUGCAGGACAUGCUGCCCAGGUAGCCAGGUACCACAUGGGAUGCUGAGCCUCCAGUGGACUGGAGGAGAGGAUUAUCACUGUGACCCUCCGUUGCACUGAAUGGAGAAGGAAGACGAGAGGAAAGAGGAAUGGAGAAUGAAGUGAAGUCAUGACGUGCGAGUAAAAAAAGGAAGAAGUAUAAUCCGGAGGAAGGGAGGAAAAUUAAAGAGAAUUCAUCAUACUGCAGGCGCCACGUAGAGCAUCGCAGCAGUUGCAACACACCCAACAGACAGGUCAGCACUCCCAUGGGGUGAUGUCAGGGUUAGUCAGCUAGCCAAUGCUGAUAAUGUUAUUUUGGAAACACAGAUGUGUGUGAGUGUGUAGGUGUUUGUGUUAAGACAGAUAUUUGUGUGGCUUUCUGUCAACUGCUAGUCAACUCUUCCUCGUCUGCCAGCAACACUGAUUCACACACAGACAUGUUAUGUUAGUGAAGAAACACACACAGUCUGUGGAUGUUUAACACACUGAGUCACACAUGACUGCUGACCUGACCACCAAAAAAAACAUGAUGCAUGAAUUUACAGACAUUAUCUGACAGACAGGACUGAAAUUACUUUUGAAAAUUAUGUUUAAUUCCUAUUUAAUUUAGUUCAGGUUCCCUCUAAUUAUUUAUCUAUUUUAAUCUGACUCCUGUGGUUUGUCACCUUCUGCAUCUUGUUUUCAUCACUUCUCAUAUUUUCUGCAUUAAUAUGUCCCCAAAGGCUUUUUGCUCCUCUGUUCUCAUAAUCUCACUCUGUAUAACAUCAUCUGCUUGGAUUGAUUUCAGUCUCCUCAAUUAUUAUAAUUAAAUAAUUUAAACAUGUGACCAGGGCUGCAACUAACAAUUACUGUCAACACCCAUUAAUCUACCAAAUAUUCUUGAUUAAUUGUUACAGAAUGUUGGCAAAUUACAAAUUCCCAGAGCCCAAAGUUACAUCUUUAAGUGUUUUGUUUUACCAACAGUCCAAAACCCAAAUACUGUAUAUUAAGUUUACGAACAUAAAAGACUAGGAAAACAAGAAAAUAUUCACAUUUGAUAAGAUGGAAAAUAAAAUUUUGCUCCUUUUGAUUUAAAGAAUGGCUCAAGCAACAUCGAUUAAUUGACUAAUCAUUUCAGCUCUAUAUCUGACUGAGACUGGAAUCCAGUCUGCAGAAAACUGAUGGUUUAGAACAACCUGCGGACAUCAAGCAGGAAAAUAAAAACUGAAAACUAACUGAUAUGUGUGAAUCAAUGAAUGUUCUAUUGUUCACUGUGCUUUCAAACUGGUCUGUCAUUUAAAUGCAUCACAUAAUAAGCCAGAUGGGUGCCAACCAGUACAUACUGUACAAUACCAGUCACUGUGUGGAGCUGGUAUUUAUCAGCAUAGACCACCACCUUGUGGACAGUCUCCAGCGCAGCAUCUGCUACGCUAAUUCUCAAAACGGAUGACACCAACUGUAUGUACGGCGUGAUGUCCUCCUCUGUCCAUUUCUCUUUGAGUGUGAAG